This 876-nucleotide ribosomal RNA is filed under the name Triticum aestivum (bread wheat). RNAcentral's name for it is "partial small subunit ribosomal RNA". The record is from RNAcentral. Lineage: Eukaryota; Viridiplantae; Streptophyta; Magnoliopsida; Poales; Poaceae.
AUGGCAGCUCCUUCAGCACCUCCAUGCCGACACCGACACCAGCUCGGCGCGCUGCCAAUGCAGGACCAGCGACCCGGCGCGCUUCUCCACGCGGAAGCCCCUCACCGGCACCUUCUUCAGGAGCGAGUCGGCCUGCGCCUCGGCGAAGUUGCUUAUGUGCACCGGCACGAACCCGGCCGAGGUGAACAUUGUCCGCCAUGGCAGCAGCUUGUCGCCGGCGGCCGCGGCCUGGUGCCUCCUGAUCACGCAGCUCUCGAUCUUUGGCUGGAUCAGGAAGCGCUCGAUCUUGCUCGCGACGUCGGGCUCGGUGCCCACGGCGUCCAGGGACUCGAGCAGGAACGCGCAGGACUGGAAUGCCUGGAGCAGGUGCGCCGCGAACGGCAGCUCGCCGCGGUCACCACUGCGGUCCACCGAGAUGACAAGCUUGGCGCCGAGCCGCCUGACCAGGUGAAGGACCGAUGGCACCGCGGCGGCGUGAACCGAGCCGACGGGAAGGUGCACGGCGAUGGCGUCGCCGCCGGCAAUUGCGAGGAGCUCCGUGGGGUCGACGGAGUCGAGGUUGAACACGACGAACUGGAAGGGCACCCCGAGCUCGGCGGCGAAGUUGGCGAGGUUCUCGUGGAUGAGCUGCAGCUCCAGCGGGUGGUGCGUCGACGGCAGCACCAAUGCGGUCACCUUGAGCGCGGCGCCGGGGCGGCGCUGCGCCAGCUCCUGCAUCAGCGACGCCCACUGCUCGCCGACGCCGAUGUCGAAGUCGAGCACGUGGAUGCAGCCGGCGCCGCCGAGCUCGUCGAGCACGGCCUGCACGCAGGUGAAGUGCGCGAACUGGAGCACCGGGGAGAGCUCGGAGAAGGCCUUGUAGGCGCCGAGCUUUAG